UACGUAGGUGACGAACGUUAUCCGGAAUUAUUGGGCGUAAAGGGUGCGUAGAUGGCCUGAUAAGUUAGCAGUGGGAAAUCGAGGCUCAACCUCGUGGAAGCUGGUAAUACUGUCAGGCUCGAGUGCAGGAGAGGUUAACGGAACUCUAUGUGGAGCGGUAAAAUGUGUAGAUAUAUGGAAGAACACCAAUAACGGCGAAGGCAGUUAACUAUUCUGUUACUGACAUUGAGGCACGAAAGCGUGGGGAGCAAAACGG
Molecule: ribosomal RNA, 256 nt
Filed under: uncultured bacterium
Lineage: Bacteria
Description: partial 16S ribosomal RNA
Rfam family: Bacterial small subunit ribosomal RNA
Source: RNAcentral